RNAcentral lists this unclassified non-coding RNA (240 nucleotides) under soil metagenome. RNAcentral's name for it is "partial contains 5.8S ribosomal RNA, internal transcribed spacer 2, and large subunit ribosomal RNA". The record is from RNAcentral.
AAGACUAUAGACCUGCGGAGUACCUGCGGAAGGAUCAUUAAAAAAACUUUGCCCGCGGACCUUGGGUCCAAGGCGCAAAACCCACACUAUGUGCACUGUUAUCGUUCUUUUGGCAGGGGCUUGGGGUAUCUUCCAACUUGGGGAACCUCAACUUCUCGUCUAGCUCUAUCCACCUCGGACAGCUGGACAUGAGAAGUAGUUACUCUGCCAAGUGACCCUUAAAAACACGCUUUUUUGUCU